CCUACGGGUGGCAGCAGUGAGGAAUAUUGGUCAAUGGGCGGGAGCCUGAACCAGCCAAGCCGCGUGAGGGAAGAAGGUACAGCGUAUCGUAAACCUCUUUUGUCAGGGAACAAAGGCGGGGACUAGUCCCCGGAUGAGGGUACCUGAAGAAAAAGCAUCGGCUAACUCCGGGCCAGCAGCCGCGGUAAUACGGAGGAUGCGAGCGUUAUCCGGAUUGAUUGGGUUAAAAGGUUGCGCAGGCGGCCUGUUAAGUCAGCGGUAAAAGCCCGGGGCCCAACCGCGGCGAGCCGAUGAAACUGGGGGGCUGGAGUUGGAGAGGAGGACGCGGAAUGCGCGGUGUAGCGGUGAAAUGCUUAGAUAUCGCGCAGAACCCCGGUUGCGAAGGCAGCGUACCGGCUCCACACUGACGCUGAGGCACGAAAGCGUGGGUAUCGAACAGGAUUAGAUACCCUUGUAGUC
RNAcentral lists this ribosomal RNA (459 nucleotides) under uncultured bacterium. RNAcentral's name for it is "partial 16S ribosomal RNA". It matches the Rfam family "Bacterial small subunit ribosomal RNA", at positions 338 to 795 of the family's 1533-position model. The record is from RNAcentral.